This is a non-coding RNA of Prunus mume (Japanese apricot), 381 nucleotides long. NCBI's taxonomy places the organism in Eukaryota, Viridiplantae, Streptophyta, Magnoliopsida, Rosales, Rosaceae. The record is from RefSeq and is a predicted model, not a curated record.
CAAAAUUCAAAUACUCGUUGGCAACGUCAGAUGAACGUCCAAGGCAGUUUCUUAGUAUGCCAGAAGAAGCCCAGCAGAUGGUUCUUUAACCUGAGGCACACAUUGCAGUUUGGCAUUGGAUUACAAAGAUGGAUCUCUGGUUGUGGAGCUUUUUGCAGACAACAAGAUUCAGGCAUUUCUGUCUUACCUCAGUAUUGGUUUGUACCAGCACAUUGGCAUGGGUUGUAAACCUUCCAGGUCAUCAUCUGGUCAUUAUAAAGGUAAGGCAAAAUUUGUGCAGUAUCUUUUUCAUUUGGUUCCUAUAUUUACAAAGGUUUCUAGUAGGAGUAUAUUGCAGCAGCUGUUCUUCAGGACAAAUUUACGUAAGUGUUGAUUCUCUUG